AGUUGAGUGGUGCAGUUGGUAGCACUCGUGGUUUCGUUGAGGAUAGCUUCAUCAACUACUUGCCGCAGGACCCUCGUUCUAUUCGGGGCUCAGCCU
Molecule: non-coding RNA, 96 nt
Organism: Mycena metata
Lineage: Eukaryota; Fungi; Basidiomycota; Agaricomycetes; Agaricales; Mycenaceae
Source: the annotation of a GenBank genome assembly